This 468-nucleotide ribosomal RNA is filed under the name uncultured bacterium. RNAcentral describes it as "partial 16S ribosomal RNA". It matches the Rfam family "Bacterial small subunit ribosomal RNA", at positions 28 to 507 of the family's 1533-position model. The record is from RNAcentral.
GACGAACGCUGGCGGCGUGCUUAACACAUGCAAGUCGAACGGAAAGGCCCUGCUUUUGUGGGGUGCUCGAGUGGCGAACGGGUGAGUAACACGUGAGUAACCUGCCCUUGACUUUGGGAUAACUUCAGGAAACUGGGGCUAAUACCGGAUAGGAGCUCCUGCUGCAUGGUGGGGGUUGGAAAGUUUCGGCGGUUGGGGAUGGACUCGCGGCUUAUCAGCUUGUUGGUGGGGUAGUGGCUUACCAAGGCUUUGACGGGUAGCCGGCCUGGGAGGGUGACCGGCCACAUUGGGACUGGGGUACGGCCCAGACUCCUACGGGCGGCAGCAGUGGGGAAUAUUGCACAAUGGGCGGAAGCCUGAUGCAGCAACGCCGCGUGCGGGAUGACGGCCUUCGGGUUGUAAACCGCUUUCGCCUGUGACGAAGCGUGAGUGACGGUAAUGGGUAAAGAAGCACCGGCUAACUACGUG